UACGUAGGGGGCAAGCGUUGUCCGGAUUUAUUGGGCGUAAAGAGCGUGUAGGCGGCCAGACAGGUCCGUUGUGAAAACUCGAGGCUUAACCUCGAGAUGUCAUCGGAAACCAUUUGGCUAGAGUCCGGAAGAGGAGAGUGGAAUUCCUGGUGUAGCGGUGAAAUGCGUAGAUAUCUGGAGGAACACCGGUGGCGAAGGCGGCAUCCUGGACCGACACUGACGCUGAGGAGCGAAAGCCAGGGGAGCAAACGGG
This 253-nucleotide ribosomal RNA is filed under the name uncultured bacterium. RNAcentral describes it as "partial 16S ribosomal RNA". It matches the Rfam family "Bacterial small subunit ribosomal RNA", at positions 524 to 776 of the family's 1533-position model. The record is from RNAcentral.